GCAGCCGCCACGGUAAAACGGAGGGUGCAAGCGUUAUCCGGAUUUAUUGGGUUUAAAGGGUCCGUAGGCGGACUUAUAAGUCAGUGGUGAAAGCCUGUCGCUUAACGAUAGAACUGCCAUUGAUACUGUAAGUCUUGAGUAUAUUUGAGGUAGCUGGAAUAAGUAGUGUAGCGGUGAAAUGCAUAGAUAUUACUUAGAACACCAAUUGCGAAGGCAGGUUACCAAGAUAUAACUGACGCUGAGGGACGAAAGCGUGGGUAGCGAACAGGAUUAGAUACCCCGGUAGUCCCUGUCUCUUAUAC
Molecule: ribosomal RNA, 302 nt
Filed under: uncultured bacterium
Lineage: Bacteria
Description: partial 16S ribosomal RNA
Rfam family: Bacterial small subunit ribosomal RNA
Source: RNAcentral